ACAGUGGACGCGAGCAUCUUUGUUGUAAGUGUUUAAGAGCGUACGGUGGAUGCCUUGGCACCAGGAGCCGAUGAAGGACGUAGGAGGCUGCGAUAAGCCUCGGGGAGCUGUCAACCGAGCUGAGAUCCGAGGAUGUCCGAAUGGGGAAACCCAGCCACAGUGAUGUGUGGUUACCCGCGCCUGAAUAUAUAGGGCGUGAGGAGGGAACGUGGGGAAGUGAAACAUCUCAGUACCCACAGGAAGAGAAAACAACAUGUGAUUCCGUGAGUAGUGGCGAGCGAAAGCGGAAGAGGCUAAACCAUGGGUGUGUGAUAGCCGGCGGGCGUUGCAUUCGUGGGGUUGUGGGAUCCGUCUUGUCAAUUCUGCCGGAUUGGCCGACAGUGAGAAAUCAUCGUGUUAGUCGAAGUGGUCUGGAACGGCCUGUCGUAGAGGGUGAGAGUCCCGUAGACGAAAACAUGGUGACUGUCGUGACGGACACCCGAGUAGCAGCGGGCCCGUGAAAUCUGCUGUGAAUCUGUCGGGACCACCCGAUAAGCCUGAAUACUCCCUGGUGACCGAUAGCGGACUAGUACCGUGAGGGAAAGGUGAAAAGUACCCCGGGAGGGGAGUGAAAUAGUACCUGAAACCGUGCGCUUACAAUCCGUCAGAGCCUGCGCCACUUCGGUGGGUGGGUGAUGGCGUGCCUUUUGAAGAAUGAGCCUGCGAGUUAGCGGCAUGUCGCGAGGUUAACCCGUGUGGGGUAGCCGUAGCGAAAGCGAGUCCGAAUAGGGCGUUUGUAGUGGCAUGUUCUAGACCCGAAGCGGAGUGAUCUACCCAUGGCCAGGGUGAAGCGACGGUAAGACGUCGUGGAGGCCCGAACCCACUUAGGUUGAAAACUGAGGGGAUGAGCUGUGGGUAGGGGUGAAAGGCCAAUCAAACUCCGUGAUAGCUGGUUCUCCCCGAAAUGCAUUUAGGUGCAGCGUCGCGUGUUUCACUCUGGAGGUAGAGCUACUGGAUGGCCGAUGGGCCCCACAAGGUUACUGACGUCAGCCAAACUCCGAAUGCCAGAGUGUGAGAGCGCGGCAGUGAGACUGCGGGGGAUAAGCUUCGUAGUCGAGAGGGAAACAGCCCAGAUCGCCGGCUAAGGCCCCUAAGCGUGUACUAAGUGGAAAAGGAUGUGGGGUCGCGAAGACAACCAGGAGGUUGGCUUAGAAGCAGCCACCCUUGAAAGAGUGCGUAAUAGCUCACUGGUCAAGUGAUCCUGCGCCGACAAUGUAGCGGGGCUCAAGUACACCGCCGAAGCCGCGGCAUUCACAUAACACCCAUGCGGGUCUACGGGCCUGUGUGCAGUGGUGUGGAUGGGUAGGGGAGCGUCGUGCAGCCAUGGAAGCGCCGGAGUGAUCCAGGUGUGGAGGCUGCACGAGUGAGAAUGCAGGCAUGAGUAGCGAAAGACGAGUGAGAAACUCGUCCGCCGAAUGACCAAGGGUUCCUGGGCCAGGUUAAUCCGCCCAGGGUGAGUCGGGACCUAAGGCGAGGCCGACAGGCGUAGUCGAUGGACAACGGGUUGAUAUUCCCGUACCCGUGUGAACGCGCCCCUGGUGAAUCAGUGAUGCUAAGCGCCCUGAAGCCGCCUUCGAACCUUCGGGUUCUCCGGUGUGUGGAUGCGCGUGAACCGAUCUGGUAGUAGCCAAGCGAUGGGGUGACGCAGGAAGGUAGCUGAGCCAGUCAGUGGUAAUACUGGUGUAAGCGUGUAGGGCGUGACCUAGGCAAAUCCGGGUCACAUACAGCCUGAGACGUGAUGCGUAGCCGAUUGAGGCGAAUUCAGUGAUCCUAUGCUGCCGAGAAAAGCCUCUAGCGAGCUUUCACACGGCCCGUACCCCAAACCGACACAGGUGGUCAGGUAGAGAAUACUAAGGCGAUCGAGAUAACUGUGGUUAAGGAACUCGGCAAAAUGCCCCCGUAACUUCGGGAGAAGGGGGGCCUCGUCUGGUGACGGAACUUGCUUCCUGAGCUGGGUGGGGCCGCAGAGACCAGAGAGAAGCGACUGUUUACUAAAAACACAGGUCCGUGCGAAGUCGUAAGACGAUGUAUACGGACUGACGCCUGCCCGGUGCUGGAAGGUUAAGAGGACCGGUUAGCCAGUAAUGGCGAAGCUGAGAAUUUAAGCCCCAGUAAACGGCGGUGGUAACUAUAACCAUCCUAAGGUAGCGAAAUUCCUUGUCGGGUAAGUUCCGACCUGCACGAAUGGCGUAACGACUUCUCUGCUGUCUCAACCACAGACUCGGCGAAAUUGCAUUACGAGUAAAGAUGCUCGUUACGCGCGGCAGGACGAAAAGACCCCGGGACCUUCACUAUAGCUUGGUAUUGGU
Molecule: ribosomal RNA, 2348 nt
Filed under: Rhodococcus (subgen. Prescottella) equi
Lineage: Bacteria; Bacillati; Actinomycetota; Actinomycetes; Mycobacteriales; Nocardiaceae
Description: Rhodococcus hoagii partial 23S ribosomal RNA
Rfam family: Bacterial large subunit ribosomal RNA
Source: RNAcentral